Molecule: unclassified non-coding RNA, 677 nt
Filed under: Zygosaccharomyces sp. NBRC 10672
Lineage: Eukaryota; Fungi; Ascomycota; Saccharomycetes; Saccharomycetales; Saccharomycetaceae
Description: sequence contains ITS1, 5.8S rRNA gene and ITS2
Rfam family: 5.8S ribosomal RNA (bases 242-395)
Source: RNAcentral
UCGGAAGGAUCAUUAUAGAAAAUGACGUGAACUCUUAACGGAGUUCUCUCAAAGUGUUGGAGGGGAAGGCCUGCGCUUAAUUGCGCGGCUGUUUUUAAUCUCCUCCGCCUUUGAUACACACAUUGGAGUUUCUACUUUUUUGUUCUCUUUGGGAGGGUUCUGCUCUCCCAGAGGUAAACACAAACAAUCUUUUAUUAUACUAUUAACACAGUCAAAUGAAUUUUAAAAACAAAAUAUUCAAAACUUUCAACAACGGAUCUCUUGGUUCUCGCAUCGAUGAAGAACGCAGCGAACUGCGAUACGUAAUGUGAAUUGCAGAAUUCCGUGAAUCAUCGAAUCUUUGAACGCACAUUGCGCCCCUUGGUAUUCCGGGGGGCAUGCCUGUUUGAGCGUCAUUUCCCUCUCAAACUUUACGUUUGGUAGUGAGCGAUACUCUACUCUGGAGUUUGCUUGAAAAUGGGAGGCCAUAGGCGAAGCAUUGCUUUCCAAUCCUGCGGCCCUCUGCUUACUUCCCCUUGUGGGUUGUGGCAGGGGAAAGCGGGAGGCGCCUUGCCACGAUAGUCGUAUUAGGUUUUACCGACUCGGCGAAAGUGAAGAGGUUUGCUUUUUAAAAAGAAGCAGGCAGCGUCUGGCUUGACAAAAUUCUCAAAGUUUGACCUCAAAUCAGGUAGGAUUAC